GAAAGAAAAGCAAAUGCCGGAUUAUCAAGAGGACGAAAGUAGAAUGUCCUAAAAGUAGAUUCUCUGGUCCAGUCUGCCGCUCGUAAAAUGUCCGAAAGGGACGCGCCUGCCGCAUAAGCGGAAGAGGCUGCUGCCCCACGAACGGAGUGUGCUCCAAAAGUUUGGUCAAUACCGGCAAGGGAUAGUAGCCAUCUAACCCAUCUGGCCAGUGUAGUAACCGAAACCGGACCAUAAGGGCGGACGUAAGAGAUGAGAAGCUGAUGAGUGGAAGGCUGCCGCAACGUCGCGGUGGCUUCCACGUAUUGACGGAGGGUUGAGACCACGCAGAGUUGAGGGUCAG
Pelobates cultripes (western spadefoot toad) is the source of this 340-nucleotide non-coding RNA. Lineage: Eukaryota; Metazoa; Chordata; Amphibia; Anura; Pelobatidae. The record is from the annotation of a GenBank genome assembly.